AUGCUUGAUCUCAAUGAGUUGCCUCCAGAUCUCAAUGAGCUUCCUCAUGAUAUGGAUCAGCAGCAACCCAGCAUACAACAAGGAAACUGGACAGAAAAUGGUCGAUCUGUUUACUACACGCAGGCAAGUCGUGAUGGUAACCCUACGGGCCAUGACAAUGUGGCAGGCCAGUCAUCAGCCCGUGGUGCCCCUGUAGUGGUGUCUUUGCAGUCAGAGAGCCAUACUCUUGAUGACACAGGAACCGAGGCAAAUGUUCCUGGUCCAGCCAGGACUGAGCUAGGAGCUCGGGCUGUUGACGGAGCUGUGCAAGUAGAAGAAGGAGAGGAUGAGGCUGGUUCUCAACCUAUGGAACCCUAUGUUGGCAUGAGGUUUGACAGCCUUUAA
This 384-nucleotide ribosomal RNA is filed under the name Triticum aestivum (bread wheat). Its description in RNAcentral is "partial small subunit ribosomal RNA". Lineage: Eukaryota; Viridiplantae; Streptophyta; Magnoliopsida; Poales; Poaceae. The record is from RNAcentral.